GUGAGGAAUAUUGGUCAAUGGGCGAGAGCCUGAACCAGCCAAGUCGCGUGAAGGAAGAAGGAUCUAUGGUUCGUAAACUUCUUUUGCAGGGGAAUAAAGUGCAGGACGUGUCCUGUUUUGUAUGUACCCUGAGAAUAAGGAUCGGCUAACUCCGUGCCAGCAGCCGCGGUAAUACGGAGGAUCCGAGCGUUAUCCGGAUUUAUUGGGUUUAAAGGGUGCGUAGGUGGUUUGAUAAGUCAGCGGUGAAAGUUUGCAGCUUAACUGUAAAAAUGCCGUUGAAACUGUCGGACUUGAGUGUAAAUGAGGUAGGCGGAAUGCGUGGUGUAGCGGUGAAAUGCAUAGAUAUCACGCAGAACUCCGAUUGCGAAGGCAGCUUACUAAGCUACAACUGACACUGAAGCACGAAAGCGUGGGGAUCAAACAGGAUUAGAAACCCUUGUAGUCC
This 445-nucleotide ribosomal RNA is filed under the name uncultured bacterium. RNAcentral describes it as "partial 16S ribosomal RNA". It matches the Rfam family "Bacterial small subunit ribosomal RNA", at positions 354 to 796 of the family's 1533-position model. The record is from RNAcentral.